GACGAACGUUGGCGGCGUGCUUAAUACAUGCAAGUCAACUGAAGCAGUGGUAGCAAUCUCGCUGUGGAGGUGGCGCACGGGUGAGUAACACGUAGGUAAUCUGCCUUCAGGUCUGGCAUAACUCCGGGAAACCGGGGCUAAUAGCAGAUGAUGCAGCGGCUCGACAUCGAGACAGUUGUUAAAGCUAUGGCGCCUGAAGAUGAGCCUGCGUCUGAUUAGCUAGUUGGCGGGGUAACGGCCCACCAAGGCAACGAUCAGUAGCUGGUCUGAGAGGAUGAUCAGCCACACUGGAACUGAGACACGGUCCAGACUCCUACGGGAGGCAGCAGUAAGGAAUAUUGCUCAAUGGGAGAAAUCCUGAAGCAGCAACGCUGCGUGAGGGACGAAGGGCUUUUGCUUGUAAACCUCUGUAGUGAGAGAAAAAAAUCCCAAUCUUUGGGACAUGAUGGUAUCUCAAAAGUAAGCCCCGGCUAACCACGUG
Molecule: ribosomal RNA, 481 nt
Filed under: uncultured bacterium
Lineage: Bacteria
Description: partial 16S ribosomal RNA
Rfam family: Bacterial small subunit ribosomal RNA
Source: RNAcentral